This 73-nucleotide transfer RNA is filed under the name Candidatus Aenigmarchaeota archaeon ex4484_14. RNAcentral's name for it is "tRNA-Gly". The stretch from base 18 to 68 matches the Rfam family "tRNA", at positions 5 to 66 of the family's 71-position model. From Rfam's summary of the family: Transfer RNA (tRNA) molecules are approximately 80 nucleotides in length. Their secondary structure includes four short double-helical elements and three loops (D, anti-codon, and T loops). The record is from RNAcentral. Lineage: Archaea; Nanobdellati; Candidatus Aenigmatarchaeota.
GAAAAGGUUGGAUAAUCUGGUAGGACACUACCCUGCCACGGUAGCGACCCGGGUUCAAAUCCCGGCCAUCGCA